GGGGAAUCUUCCGCAAUGGGCGAAAGCCUGACGGAGCAAUACCGCGUGGGGGAGGAAGGCUCUUGGGUCGUAAACCUCUUUUCUCAGGGAAGAAUAAAUGACGGUACCUGAGGAAUCAGCAUCGGCUAACUCCGUGCCAGCAGCCGCGGUAAUACGGAGGAUGCAAGCGUUAUCCGGAAUGAUUGGGCGUAAAGCGUCCGCAGGUGGCAAUACAAGUCUGCUGUCAAAGGUCAAGGCUCAACUUUGGACAGGCAGUGGAAACUGUAUAGCUAGAGUAUGGUGGGGGCAGAGGGAAUUCCCAGUGUAGCGGUGAAAUGCGUAGAGAUUGGGAAGAACACCAGUGGCGAAAGCGCUCUGCUAGGCCAAAACUGACACUCAGGGACGAAAGCUAGGGGAGCGAAUGGGAUUAGAUACCCCAGU
This 420-nucleotide ribosomal RNA is filed under the name uncultured Pleurocapsa sp. RNAcentral describes it as "bacterial SSU rRNA". It matches the Rfam family "Bacterial small subunit ribosomal RNA", at positions 356 to 791 of the family's 1533-position model. The record is from RNAcentral. Lineage: Bacteria; Bacillati; Cyanobacteriota; Cyanophyceae; Pleurocapsales; Pleurocapsaceae.